GGAGAGGCCAACAGAUGAGGGAAGCCAUUUUUCUGCAAUGGAAUUAAAUGGCCAAGCCCAAGGACUCACAGUUGGAAGACUGGAGAAGACUUUUUAAAAAGAUCUGGAUUUUUCCUUAUGACUUGGAAUCCAUCUUUGUCUUGUAUAACUAGGUCAUAGCACACCAUUCAUGUCAGCAGUUAACAGUUUUGAAUUCCAAAAAAACCUAAAGCAGUAAACAGUCCUCAGCGAAGCCGCCUUUUUGCCUACCCAACCCUGGAAAGUUUGCAGAAGUGGAAGGAGCAGAACGUGAGGGUGUAACUUACAAAAAGGUUCUGGGCCGGAGAAGGGGCGACGUUCGGGCACCCCCCGAAUGGACAAUCUUUCCUUCUGUCAACGGCAGGGGCAGGCCUAGUUUGACUCUGACAGUCCUCCCACUAAGGAAUUCCUGGUGACUGGAAGGGGGAGUGACUCAGGCCCUCAACCUCUAGCAGGUAAGGGAGCUACCUCCUGGGUGGGCAUGCCCAGUUCCUCAGUGGGCCCAGCGCGGCCCAGCCUCCGAGGAAGCUCUGAGCAGCUGGCUUGGCUCCGAGGUAUUUUUAGCUACAGAUCCAGCCCCCCUCCAUCACCACAACAGUCGAGUCCAAAUCAAACGCGCUCCAGGCAGGUGGGGCUGGGGUUCUGCCAGCCUCCUGGCCAGCAGGGGUGGGUGGGCAGACUGGGGCCAGUAUCAGCUGUUCUGCCUGGACCCAGGCCGGGCUGGGAAGGCACACUUGUGCUUAUUUCCCGCCUCCACUUCUGUGCAAGCUUGUGCUGUCAUAAGCAGAGAUCACAGCCCCAUUUCUUGGAUGGAGAAAGUGGACACUGAGGUCUGAGGCUUUUGAGGACAGUCAGGAGCCCUCCUAUGGGCUCCAGUGAUGCACUCACCAGCUUCUGGUCCUCUUCUUCCACCUCUUAGAGUGCCUUGGCUCCCUCCUGUCGUCCUGGGGAACCUCGGCCCCAGCCCUGCCUCCCCAGCCAGUCACAGCUCCUCCCUGGUCACCCU
This 1024-nucleotide long non-coding RNA is filed under the name Homo sapiens (human). RNAcentral describes it as "long intergenic non-protein coding RNA 1089". Lineage: Eukaryota; Metazoa; Chordata; Mammalia; Primates; Hominidae. The record is from RNAcentral.